RNAcentral lists this ribosomal RNA (945 nucleotides) under Bacillus pumilus. Its description in RNAcentral is "bacterial SSU rRNA". It matches the Rfam family "Bacterial small subunit ribosomal RNA", at positions 36 to 978 of the family's 1533-position model. The record is from RNAcentral. Lineage: Bacteria; Bacillati; Bacillota; Bacilli; Caryophanales; Bacillaceae.
ANNNNGGCUGCUGUACUGCAGUCGUGACGAGGUAGCCGGAAGCUUGCUCCCGGAUGUUAGCGGCGGACGGGUGAGAACACGGGGGUAACCUGCCUGUAAGACUGGGAUAACUCCGGGAAACCGGAGCUAAUACCGGAUAGUUCCUUGAACCGCAUGGUUCAAGGAUGAAAGACGGUUUCGGCUGUCACUUACAGAUGGACCCGCGGCGCAUUAGCUAGUUGGUGGGGUAAUGGCUCACCAAGGCGACGAUGCGUAGCCGACCUGAGAGGGUGAUCGGCCACACUGGGACUGAGACACGGCCCAGACUCCUACGGGAGGCAGCAGUAGGGAAUCUUCCGCAAUGGACGAAAGUCUGACGGAGCAACGCCGCGUGAGUGAUGAAGGUUUUCGGAUCGUAAAGCUCUGUUGUUAGGGAAGAACAAGUGCGAGAGUAACUGCUCGCACCUUGACGGUACCUAACCAGAAAGCCACGGUUAACUACGUGCCAGCAGCCGCGGUAAUACGUAGGUGGCAAGCGUUGUCCGGAAUUAUUGGGCGUAAAGGGCUCGCAGGCGGUUUCUUAAGUCUGAUGUGAAAGCCCCCGGCUCAACCGGCCAGGGUCAUUGGAAACUGGGAAACUUGAGUGCAGAAGAGGAGAGUGGAAUUCCACGUGUAGCAGUGAAAUGCGUAGAGAUGUGGAGGAACACCAGUGGCUAAGGCGACUCUCUGGUCUGUAACUGACGCUGAGGAGCGAAAAGCGUGGGGAGCGAACAGGAUUAGAUACCCUGGGUACCCCACGCCAUAAACGAUGAGAGCUAGUGUUAGGGGGUUUCCGCCCCUUAUGCUGCAGCUUACGCAUUAGCACUCAGCCUGGUGAGUAUGUCGGCAGAGUGAUACUCAUANAAUUGAACGGGGGCCCGCACCAACUAUGGAAGCAUGAUGGUUGAAUACGUAUCCACCUCCAAC